This is a non-coding RNA of Acanthosepion pharaonis, 106 nucleotides long. NCBI's taxonomy places the organism in Eukaryota, Metazoa, Mollusca, Cephalopoda, Sepiida, Sepiidae. The record is from the annotation of a GenBank genome assembly.
GGCAUAUCAUGUUGAAACACCAGUUCUCGUACGACUACCGAAGUUAAGCAACGUAGAACCUAGUCAGUAAUUACAUGGGUGACCGCUUGGGAAUAACAGAUGCUGU